CCUACGGGAGGCUGCAGUCGAGAAUCAUUCACAAUGGGGGAAACCCUGAUGGUGCGACGCCGCGUGGGGGAAUGAAGGUUUUCGGAUUUUAAACCCCUGUCAUGUGGAAGCAAAUUAAAAAGAUAGUACCACAAGAGGAAGAGACGGCUAACUCUGUGCCAGCAGCCGAGGUAAUACAGAGGUGUCAAGCGUUGUUCGGAUUCACUGGGAGUAAAGCGUGCGUAGGCUGUUUCGUAAGUCGUGUGUGAAAGGCGCGGGCUCAACCCGCGGACGGCACAUGAUACUGCGAGACUAGAGUAAUGGAGGGGGAACCGGAAUGCUCGGUGUAGCAGUGAAAUGCGUAGAUAUUGAGAGGAACACUCGUGGCGAAGGCGGGUUCCUGGACAUUAACUGACGCUGAGGCACGAAGGCCAGGGGAGCGAAAGGGAUUAGAUACCCCAAUAGUC
Molecule: ribosomal RNA, 446 nt
Filed under: uncultured bacterium
Lineage: Bacteria
Description: partial 16S ribosomal RNA
Rfam family: Bacterial small subunit ribosomal RNA
Source: RNAcentral